AAAGAAAGCGUAAUAGCUCACUGGUCGAGUCGGCCUGCGCGGAAGAUGUAACGGGGCUAAACCAUGCACCGAAGCUGCGGCAGCGACACUCAGGUGUUGUUGGGUAGGGGAGCGUUCUGUAAGCCUGCGAAGGUGGCCUGUGAGGGUUGCUGGAGGUAGCAGAAGUGCGAAGGCUGACGUAAGUGACGAGAAACCGGGUGAAAAGCCCGCUCGCCGGAAGACCAA
This 225-nucleotide ribosomal RNA is filed under the name Salmonella enterica subsp. enterica serovar Infantis. Its description in RNAcentral is "partial 23S ribosomal RNA". It matches the Rfam family "Bacterial large subunit ribosomal RNA", at positions 1125 to 1348 of the family's 2925-position model. The record is from RNAcentral. Lineage: Bacteria; Pseudomonadati; Pseudomonadota; Gammaproteobacteria; Enterobacterales; Enterobacteriaceae.